CACCCGAUGGCCGAUAAAAGCUGGGUCUUUUAAACCCAUCAUGGUGCCCGUCACCUCGGGUGA
This 63-nucleotide transfer RNA is filed under the name Palinurellus wieneckii. RNAcentral's name for it is "tRNA-Lys". Lineage: Eukaryota; Metazoa; Arthropoda; Malacostraca; Decapoda; Synaxidae. The record is from RNAcentral.